GGGCAGCUGAGUCCGAAAGGAGGAGGAAGCUGUUUAGGGAAAGCAGAAGUGGAGUUUCUUCAGAAAUUCAGGCAGACAGACCACUGGCCACCCGGAAGUCAGCCACUGGACGGUGGGGCUCCAGCCACUGGCUUAAGGAUUUUGAUAUAAAAAUCAUCAUUUUCACCAAAAGUACGACACGGAAAGCAGCGAAACAAGCAGUACGCAGGCCUCUCACUGUUGCGGCCUCUCCCGC
Non-coding RNA from Delphinapterus leucas (beluga whale), 235 nucleotides. The record is from RefSeq and is a predicted model, not a curated record. NCBI's taxonomy places the organism in Eukaryota, Metazoa, Chordata, Mammalia, Artiodactyla, Monodontidae.